AUACGGAGGGGGCAAGCGUUGUUCGGAAUUACUGGGCGUAAAGGGCGCGUAGGCGGAUUAUCAAGUCAGAGGUGAAAGCCCUGGGCUCAACCUGGGAACUGCCUUUGAAACUGAUAGUCUUGAGUCCGAGAGAGGAUGGCGGAAUUCCCAGUGUAGAGGUGAAAUUCGUAGAUAUUGGGAAGAACACCAGUGGCGAAGGCGGCCAUCUGGCUCGGUACUGACGCUGAGGCGCGAAAGCGUGGGGAGCAAACAGGAUUAGAAACCCCAGUAGUCC
This 274-nucleotide ribosomal RNA is filed under the name uncultured bacterium. RNAcentral's name for it is "partial 16S ribosomal RNA". It matches the Rfam family "Bacterial small subunit ribosomal RNA", at positions 523 to 796 of the family's 1533-position model. The record is from RNAcentral.